Pygocentrus nattereri (red-bellied piranha) is the source of this 191-nucleotide small nuclear RNA. Its record names the gene U2. It matches the Rfam family "U2 spliceosomal RNA". Rfam says of the family: U2 is a small nuclear RNA (snRNA) component of the spliceosome (involved in pre-mRNA splicing). The record is from Ensembl. Lineage: Eukaryota; Metazoa; Chordata; Actinopteri; Characiformes; Serrasalmidae.
AUCGCUUCUCUGCCUUUUGGAUAAGAUCAAGUGUAGAAUCUGUUCUCAUCAGUUUAACAUCUGAUAUGUCCUCUAUAUAAGGACUACACAUUAAAUUGAUUUUUAGAACAGGGCAACGGAAGAGGAGCUUGCUCCGUCUGCUCCACACAUCGACCUGGUAUUGCUGUACCUCCAGGAAUUGUGCACCUCCU